GAAGAACAAUGAGACAUAUGGCCGAAGGGCUAGAAGGAAAGAAACCUGCUAUGAAAAUGAUGCAUGAAAUGCAAUGUUUUUAUUUUAAUUUUUCUAGGAACAUUCAAAGCCUUACUUUCAAAUAUUUCAAUAAUGAUAAUCAAUUUUGGAUUGACCAAAAAAUCUCUUUUUAUUCAUCAAAUUCAGAAGGAUUACAUUGAGUAUAAUUUCAGAAACCCAAAAUACAAAUACAAGAGAAAAGGAAAGUAUCAUCCUUAGGAUCCUUA
RNAcentral lists this long non-coding RNA (266 nucleotides) under Lathyrus oleraceus (garden pea). RNAcentral describes it as "Pisum sativum (pea) long non-coding RNA (PSAT_LNC026383)". Lineage: Eukaryota; Viridiplantae; Streptophyta; Magnoliopsida; Fabales; Fabaceae. The record is from RNAcentral.